Maylandia zebra (zebra mbuna) is the source of this 635-nucleotide long non-coding RNA. RefSeq lists it as uncharacterized. The record is from RefSeq and is a predicted model, not a curated record. NCBI's taxonomy places the organism in Eukaryota, Metazoa, Chordata, Actinopteri, Cichliformes, Cichlidae.
AGGAAUCAUAUUAAUGUGGCUCUAACACCAUCAUUCCAGCUGAUCAGCCAUGUCACUGUGAUAAUGCAAGGAGUUUGUUUUGGAAGACUUAAAAGCUUUUCUGACAGAAAGGCUUCCUUCUGCCAGAGAGGGCUGUCAUCCUGCGGAGGGAAAGAUUGUUCACAAAUGGAAAACAUUCAAGACAGUUGCCAAACUUUCCAGGAUUGGACGUCCCAACAAAUUCAACUCAAGGUCACAUUGUGCAGUGCUCAGAGAAACUGCAGUUAACUCAAGAGCUACAUCUCUGACUCUGUUAGCAUGCUAAAUGUGAAAGUUCAUGAGAGUGCAGUUAGAAACGCACUCAACAAGUACUGCACGACUUGUCUGGAUGGAAGCCUCUUUUCUCUUUAACAAGAACAUGACAGCACGGAUUAGGUUUGCAAAGUUGCACCUGAAUAAAACAAAAAAGACUUCUGGAACAAUGUCCUUAGGAUACAUGAGACCAGAGUGGAACUGUUUGGGUAUAUCACACAGCACUGCAUUUAGAGAAAACCCGAACACAGCAUAUCAGCAGAAACACCUCAUACCAGCUGUUAAGCAUGGUUGUAGAAUGGUGAUGAAUAGUGCUGGCUGUGCAACCACAGGGGAUUAUUAAA